GCGCGAUUAGCUCAGGGGGAGAGCACUACCUUGACACGGUAGGGGUCACAAGUUCAAAUCUUGUAUCGCGCACCA
This 75-nucleotide transfer RNA is filed under the name Adlercreutzia mucosicola. RNAcentral describes it as "Enterorhabdus mucosicola tRNA-Val". It matches the Rfam family "tRNA". Rfam says of the family: Transfer RNA (tRNA) molecules are approximately 80 nucleotides in length. Their secondary structure includes four short double-helical elements and three loops (D, anti-codon, and T loops). RNAcentral also lists the same sequence under 9 other names. The record is from RNAcentral. Lineage: Bacteria; Bacillati; Actinomycetota; Coriobacteriia; Eggerthellales; Eggerthellaceae.